UUUUAAAAUGUAGCAACACAAUUUUGUUGCGAAACAUUUUGAGAGGGCAAAAAGAAAAUCACAGCAAGAUUAAACAUCUCCUUUCUCCUUCCCUAUUCUUCGACUCAUCCCCCAUUCCCCAUAAACCCUAGAUCGGUUGCUUUUCUUCUUCUCCGGAGACCAUCCUCUUCAAUAUAUCAGAGCCCCCUUAUUCUUCACGCUGCUUCGCCACACUGCUUUUCCAAUCGCUGCCCUCCAUUGCCGCCACCUGGGUUGUUCGUCGGCAUCUCUCCUACCCCUUGCUGGUUGUAUUCCAUACUCUUAUCUUCCCUCCCUCGUUGCUGCACACCGUACCUGGUUGCGCACCAUCUUCUAUCAUCCUCUCUGGGGCAUCCUCGAUGGUUGCCACGCUGGCGAGCUGAGGUCAUCCACCACUCAAUUCACUGCUUCUUCAUUCUCUCUCAACUUAUGCCAAUGAAUAACUAAUUGAGGAAGUAAUUAUUUUUCCGUAGAUUAAUUUGUUUAUUAAUUCUAACUUCGAUGUUGUUUGUUGUCAGUUUUGAUAUUUAUACUGUUAUGUUGGCCAAUUUGUUGCAAUCUCUUGAUAUUUCUAGUGAAUUUGUUUAGCAAUGUGUUCUUGCUAGUGAUAAUUAAUUAUGUUACUCCGUACAGAGUAGGCAAAAUGAAAUUACAGAAAUUAAGUUAAUUAUUAGGUAUCAAUGCAUUGAAAUCAUUCUCUAAAUGUAUUGUACUCUUGGAGUAUAAUGGAAAUAAUUACCAUUAUGAGCUCGUUAUAAUAAGACAUGAAAAGCAAAUAAUGCGUGUAUUGUAAUGACCAAAAAUAAAGACUUAUGUGACAAAUUGACUAGUAAUUAUUGUUUCCCCUACAUCGUGGUUCAAUAAUAAUGGUUUUUGGCUAUUUAGCUUGUUUUCACCAUGUAAUAUUAUUGCUUUUUCCUUGUUGAGUUGCAAUGUAGCUUUUCUGGAAAUGCAGGGCCUUCUGAAGGCUGCCUCAGAGUGGAAAGUUUUUAGAUUUCUAAUCUUUUCCCCAGGACAUCUAAUAUGUGAAAUAACUCCUCCUACAAUAUAUUCACGGUUUGGAUACACGAGGCGUUCAUUAUAUACGUCGUUUGGUCCAACACUUCAGGAUGCAGGUUUCUUUUUUUCUUCCUGAACUUGGAAAAUACAAGGCUUACAUUAGCGAGACAGUAUUUUCCUCCAUAUUUUUAGCGUUUGUCUUGGUAAGGCUCCCUUAAUAUAUACACUCUUGUUUCAUCUUUUAUUAUCUAGCGUACUAUGCUUGUUAUUCACUGCAUAGUCCAUAGUUUAUAAUGCCUCUUGCCUGUUUUCUCUUGUGAUAUAGUGUCGCUCUCUUUGUUGUUUACUUUUCUUUUCACACUGUAAAGUUUGUACAAAAACUAUUAGAUUUCCAGCUCAGAUAUGGUUUUAUUGUGCUUAUAAAUUACUGAAAAUUUCCAGCAAAUUGUAAUGACAUUUAUUUAGUAAAGAAGGCCUGAAGCCUGGAUGCUUGUCUUCUAAAAAUUGUUGUUCAGAGUCAUUGACGGUGUUAGAAAUAUCAACGAUGGAGUUAAGCUAAUGUGGCCUAUUCUUGCACUACUUAAGACUUGAGAUAUCAUACAGUUCAACUACCCAAUCUUGUUAUGUUUUUCAUAUCUAGGAAGACCUCUUUGAGUAUUAGAUAUGGAAGUUGGUUUACUUUAUCUAGGAGACUAGUAGUCAUUUUUAAUUGAUAUAUUAUAUAUAAUCAUCUUCCAAUUGACGUUCUCUUGUACUUUGUAUUUGUUAUCUGUUUGUAACAAGCAACUGCAGCUAGUUUAUAAUUUUUUGAUCCCUUGAUAUGUUGUGUCAUUGCCUAUUUGUAUUUGCACAUGAAUGUUAUACUGUUGAAUCUGUUAUGAUAAUAUAGUUAUUGUGCAUGCUAUCAAACAAACUGUUCUAUAUUAUCUUAUAUGAUUCACGCUACCAUGACAACUACAAUGAUAAUAUUGUUAAUAUUUUGUUCAAGCAUGACAGUUUCUUAAGAUCAUAACAUUCUAUUCUACACCGCUUCCUGGUCCAAACUAACACUCCUGUAAGGUAAAGCUUUUUUAGAUUUCAACAUAAAAUAGUGGAAUCUAAGCAGGAAGGACUUCUGGAUUGAGUUGGAGGCAUCAAACAGAUGGCCACAUUAUCAACAAUAGAUAGUUUCAAGUAGAAAUUCAGCAAAUUAAGAAUUUGAAAUAAAUAAAUCAGUGUUUAGUAUGGUUGAAUUUAGAAAUAUCCUCCAACUUUUUGUAACUUUAUGAGCAACUGGUUCCCCAUCAAGUGAUUCUAUCUUUUCCUCAAAAAAGAACAACAUUAUUUCCUUAUCUGGCUCAAACCAAGCUUGGCAGAUUACUUAUAUUUGAUUUCUAGCACUCUUCCGUCCCACAUCAAACCAAACAUCAAACCAGGUAAUUGUACUCAAUAUAUGUUUAGUAUAUGUUGAUUAAAUUCAAUUUAAAUUAACGUUUGAUUUCUUAAUAAUAGUAGAUUGUAAUUCUAAAAUGGCAGGUGAAUGAGGAUGAGAAUGAAGAUGGGGAUGGGGGUGAGGAUGAGGAUCAAAUGAAGAGUAUAGUGAAACGCAAACAUAUGAAGAGUAGCAGGAUUUUUGUUCUCAUUUAAUUCAAUGUAUGAAGCUAAAGAAAUGGAGCUGGUCACCAAACAUGAAGCGGGUGAAGAAAAUAACAUCUUAGUUUAGAUCUAUAGUUCUAAAUGAGAAUAUUUUUCCUAUUUUCUAUGGUUUUAAUAAUUAAUCAUGUACUUAUUUCGAUACUACGAGAUGCAUGUAGUUGGGGGUUUGUCCGUGACAUUUUUAGUGUACUAAUUAUGUAAUGAGUUCUUAUAUUUGUUAAUAAAGCAAUUGAUUUUGCAUAA
Molecule: long non-coding RNA, 2895 nt
Organism: Spinacia oleracea (spinach)
Lineage: Eukaryota; Viridiplantae; Streptophyta; Magnoliopsida; Caryophyllales; Amaranthaceae
Exons: 3
Source: RefSeq, a predicted model, not a curated record